GAUGAAGAACGUAGUGAAAUGCGAUAGGUAGUGUGAAUUGCAGAUGUAACGUGAAUCAUCGAAUCUUUGAACGCAAAUUGCAUUCCCUGGUAUUCCGGGGAGUAUGCCUGUUUGAGGGUCGCCAAAUACACAUCGAUUAACAUUGCUUUUGAAGUAAAUGUUUAUCGGAUUUGAGCUUUCUUUAUUCUUAAAAUGACAAGGAUAAAGUGGUUUAAAAUUUAUUUUUUUUUGGUAUCAAGCGUAUUUUACAAUCAAUUUUUGAUUAAAAAAGAACGUUUCGAAUGCCAUCCUUUUAAUGUAAUACGUUUGACUAUAUGUAAUAAAUAUGUAGUUCAUUCGCAUACGAUUCAUAAAUUUUUUUUUUUGACCUCAAAUCAGGUAAGAGUACCCGCUGAACUUAAGCAUAUCAAUAAGCGGAGGA
Molecule: unclassified non-coding RNA, 421 nt
Filed under: soil metagenome
Description: partial contains 5.8S ribosomal RNA, internal transcribed spacer 2, and large subunit ribosomal RNA
Rfam family: 5.8S ribosomal RNA (bases 1-121)
Source: RNAcentral